Molecule: long non-coding RNA, 3099 nt
Organism: Manis pentadactyla (Chinese pangolin)
Lineage: Eukaryota; Metazoa; Chordata; Mammalia; Pholidota; Manidae
Exons: 3
Source: RefSeq, a predicted model, not a curated record
ACGGCUCUGCGGCCUGGGAUUCCAACCUCCCAGCAUCCCGGCCACGCGGGUCCGCGAUGCCAAACCCCCUCACCCUCCAGACAGCAACCGUCGCCCCAUCAGAUAACCUUCAGAACCCUCCUGGGACUCCUGCUCCCCGACCCCUGGACCACGACCCUUGCCCCUCCCCUGGAUAGCUUCUCCUAAUAGCCCCCCCGGAACGCCUGUCCCCCCUUACCCUGGGCCAGCGACCUCCGCCCCUCCCCACAACCCCCAGCAGCCCCCGAACAUCUGCCCGCUUAACUCCGGGUUAGCAAACCCCAGCACCUCUCAGGACACCUACCCCACUCAGCCCGAGAGAGCGACCCCCAGCACCCCCUGGGGCCCCUGACCGCCCCCCAUCCCGGGUUAGCGACCCCUGCCUCUCCACGACCCCCAGCACUCCCCCAGACACCUGCCUCCUUCACACCGGGUCAGCAAACCCCAGAACCUUCCGGGACGCCUGCCCCCAGCCAGGAGCAGUGACCCCAGCCCGCGUUGAACGGCGGUGCAGUAGAGGCCGGGGUUGCGGGGAGCGAGAGGCGGUGCCCGUGGGGUGGGGCCUGGCAGAGCCGCCGGCUCGCCGUUUAGGGGUGUUGAAGCAUAGCUCACCCACCCUGACGGUGGUAUGUGGAGGGAGAACAAAGUACCAACCCCUAGACGCUGCUCCAAGUGACUGAUGCCGGCGUAAACACUUGCAUGAAUUAGGGUUUGACCCACACACAGGUUUUGUGCCCCACCCAGAGCUAGGAAACUGCGGGUAAAGGCUGGACGGAUAGCAAGGACUUGGAGGAUAAAAGUCCUGAGGACUGAGGUCUCCAGUACUGAAAGCCUGAACUAUUUCAGAAGAAGGGUCUGCAGGUCACUUCCCAGACAACCUGGCGGUCGCGUUGAAAUAAUUACCCACGCUCCCCAGCCCUGAGCUUGGUUCACCUGCAAAGAUCAGGACCCUCCAAAGUUGGUUGAAGCCCUAACCCCCAUGUGGCUGUUUUGGAGACGGGGCAUCUGAGGAAGUAAGUAGGAUUCAAAGUGGUCUGGAGGGUAGGGCCCUGAUCCGGGAGGAGUGAUGUCCUUACAGAAGAAACACCAGGCAGCUCCCACACUCUGUCCUUGGGAACUCACUGAGGAAGGCCUCGUGAGGACAUGUGCAGAGCCCUGUCUAUGAGCCAGGACACUGGCCUCGCCAGAAACUGAAUCGAUCAGAACCUUGAUCAUAGACUUCCAGCCUCCAGAACUCAUGGAGGGAGGCAGACUUGGGUCAAAGCUAACUGGAAAUGAGAGUGGCCAUAGCUUUGACUCUGAACUGCUUUCACCUGCUGCAGUCCAGAAGCAGACCUUCUUCAGAGUGAAAAGGUAGCAAGAGACAGCAUCCUUCAUCAGAACCAGUAUAUCUUGCCAACAAACAAGCCCAAGUUCUGCUUCUUUCAGGAACAGAGAAAACAUGGCUCACUUCUGUCCAGAAGUACAAAUGGCACGGAGCAUUGGUUCUUGCCACAGGUGGCCAGCGGUGGGCACAUGUUCCAGCCCUGAGGACAUCAGAACUCUGCCACCACCAGUGGUGGUGCCCAGAGCGAUGCAAGGGCCUCGGGCAGAAGGUGUUUAACCUGCUAGACCCAGGAGGAGACAGCCUGCAGCCCUGGAAGGGGAGGUUGUGAAACCUCAGCUUUUCCUGCCUAAGAGUGGCUUCUUUAAAUGUAAAAAGCCUUCAAACAUGAAGGUAAUUACAUGAUGUUUUAGAAUUAAUAAAUCAAACAAAAGUGGCAUAACACUUGACAAACUAAGCUGCUGGACUUGAGAAGGGCAGGAAGGCACUGACUGGUCUCCCCUCUGGACAUACCAUGAGGCCACACCGUGGACCUUGCAGCCAGUGUGGAAGCCACGCUGCCUUGCUGCUUCUAUGUCAAACUUUGGGGGAGGAGCAUAGAGAGACUCCACAGGAGCCUCCUGCAUGGCACCGCCUUGACACUGGCCUGGGCACAGCCAACAGGGCUCUGCUUGCCCCAGGGCCGCCUCCUGUGGCCCUUUUAGGGACAUGCCCACCUCCUUCUAAAUCCUACCUGUUUCUGUAAUUUCGUCCUUCCAGGGAGCUUGAUUGGCCCUGGCAGGAGGAAAGUGGAAGGUAAGUGGGGUGGUGUGACUUUAGGGAGAGCUCCCUUCCUACCUGAUAGGAACUUCCUCAGAUAUGCUGAGAUCUUGAAGGUCUAGGUAUCAGUGACAUCCAAGUAGUCACCACCAACAUUCAACUACUUUAUUGUACACUGGUUUGAAUGGUUUAUACUUAUGUGUACAAUUUUUCAAUUAAUAAGGCAGCACAAACAAAAGUACUGCAUAGAGUCUGGGUCCUGGCUCAGGCCCAGCUUUGGGUGGAUGGGGGAAGGAACUUGACAUCUGUGACCAUCCACCCGUUGCACAUGGGUCACUUGUAGGCUGGCUUCUGUCAGCUCUGCUGAAAUGGGUCCUGUGUGAGCCCUGGCCUACUGGCUGCAGCACUGACACCUCUGGGGUCUCCCUCCCCAACCCUGGCCCUUUCUUUCCUGUGUUCCCUGGAUCCAUGCUGCUGCUUCCCUGCAAUCUGCUUACUUUUGUUUCUGUUGCCCAGGCCUAUCGUGCUGUUCUUCUAGGAAGUGAGUUUCUGUCUGGAGCAAGUCUAAAUACUGUGUACUGGGCGGUGGGGCACCUGUAUCCUCCAGGUCAGCACCCUGUGCCUCAACCCUGAUCUCCUCUUCCACCUCCCCAAGGCCCAUGGCUCUGUGGUCCAGCAUGUGUAGAAAUUGAGCUGACACGGACUCUGAUAAGGAGGCAGUCAUCUUGUGCCUCCAGGUUGCUGUGACAUCACUGAGAUGACCCCUACUCCCACCCUUAUCUAAAAAUAUCAGACUUCAAUCUCUAAGAUGCAGGAACAAGUUCCUACAUGUUUUUCAUCACCCAGUGUCCUGCAUGAGCAAGAAUGUUCCCAUCCUCCUUGAAUAGGGUGAGUAGUGUGGAGCAAAGGUGGGAAGAUUGGAGAGGAAACUGGUUGCUUAUAUCUGAGAAGAGUACAGGUUCUCGUGGUAAUAAAAGCAGGUGGAACCUGCAGUUUCA